This 455-nucleotide ribosomal RNA is filed under the name uncultured bacterium. RNAcentral's name for it is "bacterial SSU rRNA". It matches the Rfam family "Bacterial small subunit ribosomal RNA", at positions 1 to 507 of the family's 1533-position model. The record is from RNAcentral.
AGUAGUUUGAUCAUGGCUCAAGAACGAACGCUGGCGGCAUGCCUAACACAUGCAAGUCGAACGAAGCCUUCGGGCUUAGUGGCGCACGGGUGCGUAACGCGUGGGAAUCUGCCCUUGGGUUCGGAAUAACAGUUAGAAAUGACUGCUAAUACCGAAUGACGUCUUCGGACCAAAGAUUUAUCGCCCAAGGAUGAGCCCGCGUCGGAUUAGCUAGUUGGUGAGGUAAAGGCUCACCAAGGCGACGAUCCGUAGCUGGUCUGAGAGGAUGAUCAGCCACACUGGGACUGAGACACGGCCCAGACUCCUACGGGAGGCAGCAGUGGGGAAUAUUGGACAAUGGGCGAAAGCCUGAUCCAGCAAUGCCGCGUGAGUGAUGAAGGCCUUAGGGUUGUAAAGCUCUUUUACCCGGGAUGAUAAUGACAGUACCGGGAGAAUAAGCCCCGGCUAACUCCGUG